Molecule: ribosomal RNA, 163 nt
Filed under: Potamogeton berchtoldii subsp. gemmiparus x Potamogeton vaseyi
Lineage: Eukaryota; Viridiplantae; Streptophyta; Magnoliopsida; Alismatales; Potamogetonaceae
Description: 5.8S ribosomal RNA
Rfam family: 5.8S ribosomal RNA
About the family: 5.8S ribosomal RNA (5.8S rRNA) is a component of the large subunit of the eukaryotic ribosome. It is transcribed by RNA polymerase I as part of the 45S precursor that also contains 18S and 28S rRNA.
Source: RNAcentral
AGUUGACUCUCGGCAACGGAUAUCUUGGUCCUCGCAUCGAUGAAGAACGUAGCGAAAUGCGAUACUUGGUGUGAAUUGCAGAAUCCCGUGAACCAUCGAGUUUUUGAACGCAAGUUGCGCCCUAAGCUUCCGGGCCGAGGGCAAGCCUGCGUGGGCGUCAAGU